AUGCUGUGAUGAUAAAAUAUAACACAUCAUGCUGACAAAAUACUGUGGUGACUAUCAAACCCUGAGCAUA
This is a small nucleolar RNA of Scomber scombrus (Atlantic mackerel), 70 nucleotides long. RefSeq annotates it as small nucleolar RNA SNORD63. The record is from RefSeq and is a predicted model, not a curated record. The transcript has a single exon. Lineage: Eukaryota; Metazoa; Chordata; Actinopteri; Scombriformes; Scombridae.